Aotus nancymaae (Ma's night monkey) is the source of this 299-nucleotide unclassified non-coding RNA. It matches the Rfam family "Metazoan signal recognition particle RNA". From Rfam's summary of the family: The signal recognition particle (SRP) is a universally conserved ribonucleoprotein. It is involved in the co-translational targeting of proteins to membranes. The eukaryotic SRP consists of a 300-nucleotide 7S RNA and six proteins: SRPs 72, 68, 54, 19, 14, and 9. The record is from Ensembl. Lineage: Eukaryota; Metazoa; Chordata; Mammalia; Primates; Aotidae.
GUCAGGUGCGGUGGUGCGCACCUGUAGUCCCAGCUACUCAGGAGGCUGAGGCUGGAGGAUUGCUUGAGUCCAGUAGUUCUGGGCUGUAGUGCGCUAUGCCGACCGGUUGUCCGCACUAAGUUCAGCAUCAGUAUGGUGACCUCCCAGGAGCGGGGGACCACCAGGUUGCCUAAGGAGGGGUGAACUUGUUCAGGUCGGAAACGGAGCAGGUCAAAACUCCUGUGCUGAUCAGUAGUGGGAUCGCGCCUGUGAAUAGCCACUGCACUCCAGCCUGGGUAACAUAGCGAGACCCUGUCUCU